GAUUCAAGAAGCAAACAAGAACUUGGCCAAAGAGAUUGGUCUACGUGUUAUUCACAUCUGUCUUCCUGAAGGCAGCACCAAAGAUGAGAAAACCAUGUGAAAAUUAAACCAGUGAAGGACUGUGUAGUAGAAGAUGUCUCUGUUAUCAGCUGGCCUCCUUGUGCUUGGCAAGUUUGAUAAUCCUGCAGGCUUAUUGUCAGUGAAAUCUUGAGACUCAAUGACGAUCCUAACGUGCAGGGCCUUGCUCUUGACCUCCCAGAAAGCUUAUAUAGCAG
This is a non-coding RNA of Zonotrichia albicollis (white-throated sparrow), 275 nucleotides long. Lineage: Eukaryota; Metazoa; Chordata; Aves; Passeriformes; Passerellidae. The record is from RefSeq and is a predicted model, not a curated record.